CAGCCGCCGCGGUAAUACGUAGGUGGCAAGCGUUGUCCGGAAUUAUUGGGCGUAAAGGGCUCGCAGGCGGUUUCUUAAGUCUGAUGUGAAAGCCCCCGGCUCAACCGGGGAGGGUCAUUGGAAACUGGGAAACUUGAGUGCAGAAGAGGAGAGUGGAAUUCCACGUGUAGCGGUGAAAUGCGUAGAGAUGUGGAGGAACACCAGUGGCGAAGGCGACUCUCUGGUCUGUAACUGACGCUGAGGAGCGAAAGCGUGGGGAGCGAACAGGAUUAGAUACCCCCGUAGUCCCUGUCUCUUAUAC
RNAcentral lists this ribosomal RNA (301 nucleotides) under uncultured bacterium. RNAcentral describes it as "partial 16S ribosomal RNA". It matches the Rfam family "Bacterial small subunit ribosomal RNA", at positions 509 to 807 of the family's 1533-position model. The record is from RNAcentral.